GAUGAACGCUGGCGGCGUGCCUAAUACAUGCAAGUCGAGCGAACAGACGAGGAGCUUGCUCCUCUGACGUUAGCGGCGGACGGGUGAGUAACACGUGGAUAACCUACCUAUAAGACUGGGAUAACUUCGGGAAACCGGAGCUAAUACCGGAUAACAUGUUGAACCGCAUGGUUCAACAGUGAAAGACGGUUUUUCUGUCACUUAUAGAUGGAUACGCGUCGCAUUAGUUAGUUGGUAAGGUAACGGCUUACCAAGGCAACGAUGCUUAGCCGGCCUGAGGGGAGGAUCGCCCGCCUGGAACUGAGGAAGCGCCCCAACCCCUGAGGGGGGCCACAGUCGGGAAUCCUCCGGCAUGGGGCAAAGGCUGAUCGAGGAAACGCGGCGGAAGGAAGAAAGUGCUACGAUCCGUAAAUCCUGUUUAUAGGGGAGAAGCAAUGUGUAAGUAACUAUGCACGUCUUGACGGUACCUAAUCAGAAAGCCACGGCUAACUACGUG
RNAcentral lists this ribosomal RNA (496 nucleotides) under uncultured bacterium. RNAcentral describes it as "partial 16S ribosomal RNA". It matches the Rfam family "Bacterial small subunit ribosomal RNA", at positions 28 to 507 of the family's 1533-position model. The record is from RNAcentral.